RNAcentral lists this ribosomal RNA (253 nucleotides) under uncultured bacterium. RNAcentral's name for it is "partial 16S ribosomal RNA". It matches the Rfam family "Bacterial small subunit ribosomal RNA", at positions 524 to 776 of the family's 1533-position model. The record is from RNAcentral.
UACGUAGGGGGCGAGCGUUGCCCGAAUUUACUGGGCGUAAAGCGCACGUAGGCGGCUUCGUAAGUCUGGUGUGAAAUCUCACGGCUCAACCGGGAGGCUGCACCAGAUACUGCGAAGCUCGAGGACGGGAGAGGAGAUUGGAAUUCCCGGUGUAGCGGUGAAAUGCAUUGAUAUCGGGAGGAACACCAGUGGCGAAGGCGGAUCUCUGGCCCGUUGUAGACGCUGAGGUGCGAAAGCUGGGGGAGCGAAAGGG